GUCCCCAUCGUCUAGGGGCCUAGGACAUCGCCCUUUCACGGCGGUAACACGGGUUCAAAUCCCGUUGGGGACGCAA
Molecule: transfer RNA, 76 nt
Filed under: Chitinophagia bacterium
Lineage: Bacteria; Pseudomonadati; Bacteroidota; Chitinophagia
Also listed under: 1 other name
Description: tRNA-Glu
Rfam family: tRNA
About the family: Transfer RNA (tRNA) molecules are approximately 80 nucleotides in length. Their secondary structure includes four short double-helical elements and three loops (D, anti-codon, and T loops).
Source: RNAcentral